CAGCAGCCGCGGGAAUACGUAGGUGGCAAGCGUUGUCCGGAAUUAUUGGGCGUAAAGGGCUCGCAGGCGGUUUCUUAAGUCUGAUGUGAAGGCCCCCGGCUCAACCGGGGAGGGUCAUUGGAAACUGGGAAACUUGAGUGCAGAAGAGGAGAGUGGAAUUCCACGUGUAGCGGUGAAAUGCGUAGAGAUGUGGAGGAACACCAGUGGCGAAGGCGACUCUCUGGUCUGUAACUGACGCUGAGGAGCGAAAGCGUGGGGAGCGAACAGGACUAGAUACCCGUGUAGUCCCUGUCUCUUAUAA
RNAcentral lists this ribosomal RNA (301 nucleotides) under uncultured bacterium. Its description in RNAcentral is "partial 16S ribosomal RNA". It matches the Rfam family "Bacterial small subunit ribosomal RNA", at positions 509 to 809 of the family's 1533-position model. The record is from RNAcentral.